UGCCCACUGAUUAAUUAAUUGAAGGGCUGCAGUAUAUUGACUGUACAAAGGUAGCAUAAUCAUUAGUCAUUUAAUUGAUGACUUGUAUGAAAGAUUGGAUGAAAUAUAAACUGUUUCUAAUUUAAUUAUAAAAUUUAAUUUUUUUAUUAAAAAGUUAAAAUAAUUUAAAAAGACGAGAAGACCCUAUAGAGUUUAAUAAAUAAUUAAAUUGAGGUUAUUUUUGAAUUUAAAUUUAAAAUUUAAUUAUUUAUUUUGUUGGGGUGAUAAAAAAAUAUACAAAACUUUUUUUUAUAGGUGUAAACAUUUAUAAGUGAUUAAAUGAUCCAGUAUUAUUGAUUAUAAGAAAAAAUUACCUUAGGGAUAACAGCGUAAUUUUUUUUUUUAGUUCAAAUAAGAAAAAGAGUUUGCGACCUCGAUGUUGGAUUAAGAUAAAAUUUAAAUGUAGAAGUU
This 450-nucleotide ribosomal RNA is filed under the name Acrapex brunneella. RNAcentral describes it as "partial 16S large subunit ribosomal RNA". The record is from RNAcentral. Lineage: Eukaryota; Metazoa; Arthropoda; Insecta; Lepidoptera; Noctuidae.